RNAcentral lists this small RNA (487 nucleotides) under Oryza sativa Japonica Group (Japanese rice). RNAcentral describes it as "sRNA Os02g0722600". The record is from RNAcentral. Lineage: Eukaryota; Viridiplantae; Streptophyta; Magnoliopsida; Poales; Poaceae.
AACACAUGCGUGGCACACGAGGAGCCGCCUCCAACUCCCAAGCCGACGGCGGCAAUGGCGCGGCCGCGCGGGAGAGGCGAGGCGCGGCGGCGGCGGGUACUGGGCGAGGGAAGAGCCGAUCUUCUUCGCCUACACGUGGACAGGAUACGGCGUUCACAUACUAAAGUGGUAUAAUCGCUUCGAUCGAAUCGUUUUUUCUAGGCUUGGAGCGCGUGGAUUUGUAGUCUCCUCACUCAGUUGGGGCGCGUUCGCGUACAUCCGUGUUGGUGUUCUCGAAUCUGGAAUGGAGGAGAGAGUGGAGGAAAUUUGCAGCUAGGGUUCGUGUUUGGGAUGCUAGUGUUUGGAAUUUGCCAAUAUUCGGAUUGAUGGCCCGGCUCUCCGACCUAUUUCGUACUAGUAGAAAUUAUUCUCCAAUAUGCGACCUACAAUGUGCGACCCUUUAAGCAUGUCGAUGAUUACUAUGGUUCAAUCAGCUUUGGUGUGGUUU